UGGGGAAUUUUGGACAAUGGGGGAAACCCUGAUCCAGCCAUCCCGCGUGUGCGAUGAAGGCCUUCGGGUUGUAAAGCACUUUUGGCAGGAAAGAAACGUCGCGGGUUAAUACCCCGCGAAACUGACGGUACCUGCAGAAUAAGCACCGGCUAACUACGUGCCAGCAGCCGCGGUAAUACGUAGGGUGCAAGCGUUAAUCGGAAUUACUGGGCGUAAAGCGUGCGCAGGCGGUUCGGAAAGAAAGAUGUGAAAUCCCAGAGCUUAACUUUGGAACUGCAUUUUUAACUACCGGGCUAGAGUGUGUCAGAGGGAGGUGGAAUUCCGCGUGUAGCAGUGAAAUGCGUAGAUAUGCGGAGGAACACCGAUGGCGAAGGCAGCCUCCUGGGAUAACACUGACGCUCAUGCACGAAAGCGUGGGGAGCAAACAGGAUUAGAUACCCUGGUAGUCCACGCCCUAAACGAUGUCAACUAGCUGUUGGGGCCUUCGGGCCUUGGUAGCGCAGCUAACGCGUGAAGUUGACCGCCUGGGGAGUACGGUCGCAAGAUUAAACUCAAAGAAUGAUGGGUCAUAGCUG
This 575-nucleotide ribosomal RNA is filed under the name uncultured bacterium. RNAcentral's name for it is "partial 16S ribosomal RNA". It matches the Rfam family "Bacterial small subunit ribosomal RNA", at positions 355 to 926 of the family's 1533-position model. The record is from RNAcentral.